AUAAGGGGAAGGAGACAUGGUUUUGUACGAUUCUUUAACAUGAAGGAUGAGAGUCUUCUAGCAACGAAGCUAGAUAACAUCUUGAAAUAUUGGUAAUAGAGAGAUCUCUGCAAAUAUUCCAAGGUUUCAAAGGAGGAACAAUGGAGAAGCUCAUCAAAAUGCAGACAAGAGGAUAGUAGCAAACUGUGGAGAAGUUAAUAUAGGUUUAAGCCAAAGAAAAAGAUCCUGCAACAAUAUAGUAACAAGUGAUUUAAUAAAAAAUAAUCAAGGGUGGGCCAAAAGGAAGGGGAAACAUUAUAUGGUGGUAAGAGAGACGCAAGAUUAUACGCUCAUGUAAAAAAAAUAACAACUUCCAAUCAAUAAUGACAAAUUACAAAAGAGAAACGAAGUCUAUCUUUGCAUAUAUGGAAUUCAACAUAGUAAAAGAUUCAAGAAAGCUUACAUAUGCAUAGUGGAGAAAUUUGAGAUGGCAUACAA
This 477-nucleotide long non-coding RNA is filed under the name Lathyrus oleraceus (garden pea). RNAcentral describes it as "Pisum sativum (pea) long non-coding RNA (PSAT_LNC027202)". Lineage: Eukaryota; Viridiplantae; Streptophyta; Magnoliopsida; Fabales; Fabaceae. The record is from RNAcentral.